Molecule: transfer RNA, 65 nt
Filed under: Dipodomys ordii (Ord's kangaroo rat)
Lineage: Eukaryota; Metazoa; Chordata; Mammalia; Rodentia; Heteromyidae
Rfam family: tRNA
About the family: Transfer RNA (tRNA) molecules are approximately 80 nucleotides in length. Their secondary structure includes four short double-helical elements and three loops (D, anti-codon, and T loops).
Source: Rfam by way of RNAcentral
GGUGGCUCAGUGGUAGAGUGCUUGCCUUGCAUGCAUGAAGCCCUGAGUUCUAUUCCUCAACACCA